GAUCCUGGCUCAGAGCGAACGCUGGCGGCAUGCUUAACACAUGCAAGUCGCACGGGCAGCAAUGUCAGUGGCGGACGGGUGAGUAACGCGUAGGAACGUGUCCUGAGGUGGGGGACAACCCCGGGAAACUGGGGCUAAUACCGCAUAUGGGCUGAGGCCCAAAGCCGAGAGGCGCCUUUGGAGCGGCCUGCGUCCGAUUAGGUAGUUGGUGGGGUAAAGGCCUACCAAGCCUGCGAUCGGUAGCUGGU
This 248-nucleotide ribosomal RNA is filed under the name uncultured bacterium. Its description in RNAcentral is "partial 16S ribosomal RNA". It matches the Rfam family "Bacterial small subunit ribosomal RNA", at positions 15 to 291 of the family's 1533-position model. The record is from RNAcentral.